Astatotilapia calliptera (eastern happy) is the source of this 628-nucleotide long non-coding RNA. The record is from Ensembl. Lineage: Eukaryota; Metazoa; Chordata; Actinopteri; Cichliformes; Cichlidae.
GUGCUGUACGGUGUACAUUUUAGGACAUCGUCAGGUAUCAGAAAAAAAAUUGUCAGGUGUCAGUUGUCAAAAAAAAAAUUGUCAGGUAUCAGAAAAAAAAUUGUCAGGUGUCAGUUGUCAAAAAAAAAAAGUCAGGUAUCAGACAAAAAAUUGUCAGGUGUCAGAAAAAAAGUUGUCAGGUAUCAGAAAAAAAAUUGUCAGGUGUCAGAAAAAAAGUUGUCAGGUGUCAGAAAAAAAGUUGUCAGGUGUCAGAAAAAAAAUUGUCAGGUGUCAGAAAAAAAGUUGUCAGGUGUCAGAAAAAAAUUGUCAGGUGUCAGAAAAAAAGUUGUCAGGUGUCAGAAAAAAAAUUGUCAGGUGUCAGAAAAAAAAUUGUCAGGUGUUAGAAAAAAAAUUGUCAGGUGUCAGAAAAAAAGUUGUCAGGUGUCAGAACACAAGGUACCAGAGAGAAAAUCUUCCUGCAGGUGGCGCUGUUGUCAUGUCCCACCCGAAUUGAUUUCCAAAUACGUCAUCAACGUGUGACCGUGGGAGAGCGUAAGGUCAUUGACCUCACCGGAGUUUUACCGUGGUUCAGGCUCCUAACGACACAAGGUAAGUUUAACUUUUUCUCCCUUUUGUUCAUAUUUUUGCC